RNAcentral lists this ribosomal RNA (488 nucleotides) under uncultured bacterium. RNAcentral's name for it is "bacterial SSU rRNA". It matches the Rfam family "Bacterial small subunit ribosomal RNA", at positions 8 to 507 of the family's 1533-position model. The record is from RNAcentral.
AGAGUUUGAUCCUGGCUCAGAAUCAACGCUGGCGGCGUGCCUCAGACAUGCAAGUCGAACGAUUAAGACUUCCUUCGGGAAGUGUAUAAAGUGGCGCACGGGUGAGUAACACGUAAGUAAUCUACCUUCGAGUGGGGGAAUAACGUUCGGAAACGAACGCUAAUACCGCAUAAUGCAGCGGCUCGACAUCGAGACAGUUGUUAAAGGAGCAAUCCGCCUUUUGAGCAGCCUGCGGCAGAUUAGCUAGUUGGUAAGGUAAUGGCUUACCAAGGCUACGAUCUGUAACCGACCUGAGAGGGUGGUCGGUCACACUGACACUGAAUAACGGGUCAGACUCCUACGGGAGGCAGCAGCCGGGAAUUUUGGGCAAUGGGCGAAAGCCUGACCCAGCAACGCCGCGUGAAGGAUGAAGUAUUUCGGUAUGUAAACUUCGUAAGAAUAGGAAGAAUAAAUGACGGUACUAUUUGUAAGGUCCGGCUAACUACGUG